This 551-nucleotide ribosomal RNA is filed under the name fungal sp. RNAcentral describes it as "eukaryotic LSU rRNA". The stretch from base 169 to 322 matches the Rfam family "5.8S ribosomal RNA". The record is from RNAcentral. Lineage: Eukaryota; Fungi.
CAGCGGAGGGAUCAUUACCGAGUUUACAACUCCCAAACCCCUGUGAACAUACCUUAAUGUUGCCUCGGCGGAUCAGCCCGCGCCCCGUAAAACGGGACGGCCCGCCAGAGGACCCAAACUCUAAUGUUUCUUAUUGUAACUUCUGAGUAAAACAAACAAAUAAAUCAAAACUUUCAACAACGGAUCUCUUGGUUCUGGCAUCGAUGAAGAACGCAGCAAAAUGCGAUAAGUAAUGUGAAUUGCAGAAUUCAGUGAAUCAUCGAAUCUUUGAACGCACAUUGCGCCCGCUGGUAUUCCGGCGGGCAUGCCUGUUCGAGCGUCAUUUCAACCCUCAAGCCCCCGGGUUUGGUGUUGGGGAUCGGCUCUGCCCUUCUGGGCGGUGCCGCCCCCGAAAUACAUUGGCGGUCUCGCUGCAGCCUCCAUUGCGUAGUAGCUAACACCUCGCAACUGGAACGCGGCGCGGCCAUGCCGUAAAACCCCAACUUCUGAAUGUUGACCUCGGAUCAGGUAGGAAUACCCGCUGAACUUAAGCAUAUCAAUAGCCGGAGGAA